GUAGGGGUGCAAGCGUUGUUCGGAAUCAUUGGGCGUAAAGCGCGUGUAGGCGGCCAAUUAAGUCUGAUGUGAAAGCCCGGGGCUUAACCCCGGAAGUGCAUUGGAUACUGGUUGGCUAGAGGACGAGAGGGGGAAGUGGAACUCCUGGUGUAGGGGUGAAAUCCGUAGAUAUCAGGAGGAACAUCGGUGGCGAAGGCGGCUUCCUGGCCCGUAUCUGACGCUGAGACGCGAAAGCGUGGGUAGCAAACAGGAUUAGAUACCCUGGUAGUCCACGCCCUAAACGAUGGAUACUAGUCGUCGGGAUACCUAAUUGUCUGGGUGACGUAGCUAACGCAUUAAGUAUCCCGCCUGGGGAUUACGAUCGCAAAGAUUA
RNAcentral lists this ribosomal RNA (373 nucleotides) under uncultured organism. Its description in RNAcentral is "partial 16S ribosomal RNA". It matches the Rfam family "Bacterial small subunit ribosomal RNA", at positions 526 to 896 of the family's 1533-position model. The record is from RNAcentral.